UACGUAGGUGGCAAGCGUUAUCCGGAUUUAUUGGGCGUAAAGGGAACGCAGGCGGUCUUUUAAGUCUGAUGUGAAAGCCUUCGGCUUAACCGGAGUAGUGCAUUGGAAACUGGGAGACUUGAGUGCAGAAGAGGAGAGUGGAACUCCAUGUGUAGCGGUGAAAUGCGUAGAUAUAUGGAAGAACACCAGUGGCGAAGGCGACUUACUGGACUGUAACUGACGCUGAGGCAUGAGAGCAUGGGGAGCAAACAGG
Molecule: ribosomal RNA, 253 nt
Filed under: uncultured Lactobacillus sp.
Lineage: Bacteria; Bacillati; Bacillota; Bacilli; Lactobacillales; Lactobacillaceae
Description: partial 16S ribosomal RNA
Rfam family: Bacterial small subunit ribosomal RNA
Source: RNAcentral